Molecule: small RNA, 952 nt
Filed under: Pan troglodytes (chimpanzee)
Lineage: Eukaryota; Metazoa; Chordata; Mammalia; Primates; Hominidae
Description: retained intron
Source: RNAcentral
AGGCCAGCUCUGGGGUCUCGGCAGGUGGUCCGCAACAUGACCUCUGAGUUCUUCGCUGCCCAGCUCCGGGCCCAGAUCUCUGACGACACCACUCACCCGAUCUCCUACUACAAGCCCGAGUUCUACACGCCGGUUGAUGGGGGCACUGCUCACCUGUCUGUCGUCGCAGAGGACAGCAGUGCUGUGUCUGCCACCAGCACCAUGAACCUCUACUUUGGCUCCAAGGUCCGCUGCCCGGUCAGCGGGAUCCUGUUCAAUGAUGAAAUGGAUGACUUCAGCUCUCCCAACAUCACCAACGAGUUUGGGGUGCCCCCCUCACCUGCCAAUUUCAUCCAGCCAGGGAAGCAGCCGCUCUCGUCCAUGUGCCCGACGAUCAUGGUGGGCCAGGACGGCCAGGUCCAGAUGGUUGUGGGAGCUGCUGGGGGCACACAGAUCACCACAGCCACUGCACUGGUAUGUGUCACACCUUUUCUCCCUGGCCGUGCCCACCCUCCACAGCCCCCAAGCCACGCUGAUCACACUCCCAUGCCCCAGGCCAUCAUCUACAACCUCUGGUUCGGCUAUGACGUGAAGCGGGCCGUGGAGGAGCCCCGGCUGCACAACCAGCUUCUGCCCAACGUCACGACAGUGGAGAGAAACAUUGACCAGGCAGUGACUGCAGCCCUGGAGACCCGGCACCAUCACACCCAGAUCGCGUCCACCUUCAUCGCUGUGGUGCAAGCCAUCGUCCGCAUGGCUGGUGGCUGGGCAGCUGCCUCGGACUCCAGGAAAGGCGGGGAACCUGCCGGCUACUGAGUGCUCCAGGCGGACAAGGCUGACAAGCAAUCCAGGGACAAGAUACUCACCAGGACCAAGAAGGGGACUCCGGGGGACCGGCUUCCCCUGUGAGCAGCAGAGCAGCACAAUAAAUGAGGCCACUGUGCCAGGCUCCAGGUGGCCUCCCUGGCCUGUC